This 465-nucleotide ribosomal RNA is filed under the name uncultured bacterium. Its description in RNAcentral is "partial 16S ribosomal RNA". It matches the Rfam family "Bacterial small subunit ribosomal RNA", at positions 338 to 795 of the family's 1533-position model. The record is from RNAcentral.
CCUACGGGAGGCAGCAGUAGGGAAUCUUCCACAAUGGGCGCAAGCCUGAUGGAGCAACACCGCGUGAGUGAAGAAGGGUUUCGGCUCGUAAAGCUCUGUUGUUGGAGAAGAACGUGCGUGAGAGUAACUGUUCACGCAGUGACGGUAUCCAACCAGAAAGUCACGGCUAACUACGUGCCAGCAGCCGCGGUAAUACGUAGGUGGCAAGCGUUAGCCGGAUUUAUUGGGCGUAAAGCGAGCGCAGGCGGUUGCUUAGGUCUGAUGUGAAAGCCUUCGGCUUAACCGAAGAAGUGCAUCGGAAACCGGGCAACUUGAGUGCAGAAGAGGACAGUGGAACUCCAUGUGUAGCGGUGGAAUGCGUAGAGAUAUGGAAGAACACCAGUGGCGAAGGCGGCUGUCUGGUCUGCAACUGACGCUGAGGCUCGAAAGCAUGGGUAGCGAACAGGAUUAGAUACCCGUGUAGUC